RNAcentral lists this ribosomal RNA (443 nucleotides) under uncultured bacterium. Its description in RNAcentral is "partial 16S ribosomal RNA". It matches the Rfam family "Bacterial small subunit ribosomal RNA", at positions 338 to 795 of the family's 1533-position model. The record is from RNAcentral.
CCUACGGGUGACAGCAGUGGGGAAUAUUGGGCAAUGGGCGCAAGCCUGACCCAGCAACGCCGCGUGAAGGAAGAAGGCCCUCGGGUUGUAAACUUCUUUUUACAGGGACGAAGAAAGUGACGGUACCUGUUGAAUAAGCCUCGGCUAACUACGUGCCAGCAGCCGCUGUAAUCCGUAGGUGGCAAGCGUUCACCGGAUUUACUGGGUGUAAAGGGCGUGUAGGCGGGAGGGCAAGUCAGACGUGAAAUUCCAGGGCUCAACCCUGGAACUGCGUUUGAAACUGUUCUUCUUGAGUGAUGGAGAGGCAGGCGGAAUGCGGUGUGUAGCGGUGAAAUGCGUAGAUAUACGGAGGAACACCAGUGGCGAAGGCGGCCUGCUGGACGUUAACUGACGCUGAGGCGCGAAAGCGUGGGGAGCAAACAGGAUUAGAUACCCGAGUAGUC